Molecule: long non-coding RNA, 765 nt
Filed under: Felis catus (domestic cat)
Lineage: Eukaryota; Metazoa; Chordata; Mammalia; Carnivora; Felidae
Description: lncRNA (ENSFCAG00000040874.2)
Source: RNAcentral
CGUGACCUGAGCCGAAGUUGGGCACUUAGCCAACUGAGCCACUCAGGUGCUCCAAAGAUAUAUAUUUUUAUAAUAAUAUUUAUUGAAAUAGUUUUCAAAGUUUUAUUUAUCUGUUUUUCAGAAGUAAAAGUAGUUUUAAGCAAUAUCUCACAUGGGAAUUCAAUUUGCAACAUAAGAUAAAAACAAAGCUCCUUGGUUGAAGUGCGUGUGUGUGUGUGUGUGUGUGUGUGUGUGUGUGUGUUGGGGAUAGUGAGGCCCAGAGCCUACUCACUCAGUUAUUUCAUUCUCCUAGAGUAAAAGUCAGCAAACUAUGGUCCAUGGGCUAAAUCCCACCACUUCUUGUUCUUGCAAAUCACGUUUUAUUGAAUACAAAUAGCCAUGCCUGUGUUUUAAAUGUAUUGUCUAUGGCUGCUUUUCUGCUGCAACAGCAGAGUUGAGAAGUUCAGAUAGAAACCUAUUUAGGCAAAGUCUAAACAGAAUCUUUGCUGUCUGGCCCCUUCCAGGUAGAAGUUUGCAGAUCCCUCUUCUAGAAGGGACAGUGUUUGAAAUGCACAUCUCCUUGGCCUUGAGAUCUCAAUGCCUGCAGGUUACCUCUGUCCAAAUGAUCCAUAAGUCUCAAGUAUGAAGGUACAAAUGAGAUGAGAAGUCUGAACAAAUUAUGAAGACCCCUUGGGAGCAUCCUAUUCAACUGAGAGUUCCUUGAAGUUAGGGAUUGGUAGUAUGUCAUGUAUCUCUAACACCUGGUUCAAAUUCUGCUAUAUAUUU